RNAcentral lists this ribosomal RNA (408 nucleotides) under uncultured bacterium. Its description in RNAcentral is "partial 16S ribosomal RNA". It matches the Rfam family "Bacterial small subunit ribosomal RNA", at positions 28 to 526 of the family's 1533-position model. The record is from RNAcentral.
GACGAACGCUGGCGGCGUGCUUAACACAUGCAAGUCGAACGGAGUGGCGAACGGGUGAGUAACACGUGGGUGACCUGCCCUGCACUUCGGGAUAAGCCUGGGAAACUGGGUCUAAUACCGGAUAGUGUGGGAUGGGCCCGCGGCCUAUCAGCUGGUUGGUGGGGUAAUGGCCUACCAAGGCGGCGACGGGUAGCCGGCCUGGGAGGGUGGACGGCCCCAUUGGGACUGAGACACGGGCCAGACUCCUACGGGGGGCAGCGGUGGAGGAUAUUGCGCAAUGGGCGGAAGCCUGAUGCAGCGCCGCCGCGUGGGGGGUGACGGCCUUCGGGUUGUAAACGCCUUUCACCAUCGACGCGGUAGGUGGAGAAGAAGCGCCGGCUAACUACGUGCCAGCAGCCGCGGUAAUAC